CUCAGCUCUUUAUCCUUCUCACUCACCCUCUCUCUCUCUCGCUUGCACUCCCAUUUCUCGAUCGACACCCACUGUCACACUUGAGCCAUCCCAACGACGGUGCAGUACCACCAUUGCCCUCUUAUACUCCCUCUCUCACUCCCCCUCGUCUCUGCAAGCUCUAGGACACCCAGAGGCACCCAAAUCUAUAUGGUGAGCCCCGUGCAUUUCGAACAAGAUUCCGGCCACCUCGUCCAUUCUCUGUUGGAUCUCAGGAGCCUAUGAGCGAUUGAUACUUAUGAAGGAAGUUUCUGAAGGAAGAGUUCUAUAUGCCUUUGGGUGAUACUGACACCACUAGUUAGCACACUAUAUACAAGACUUAGAAUCGAGGCGUAUAAUCCUGGUGUUAAGGCACUUCUACAUCGGCAUCUUCGAGUUCUCUCAGUGUAGGUCCCACUCCUUUACUCAUUCAAUUUUAUAUUAUUUCUUUUCUAAUAUCUUGAAUUAGUUGUAUGAUUUGAACACGUUCCUCAAUUGCAUGUUAAUUCAUUAUAUUUAAAUUUAUAAGUCUUGUUUAUUUCUUGUUCUCAACAUUUGCAUUCAAUAAAUGGCUUUUGUCACCCUCUAGUGUCAGCCAGCACAUGACCAUCCCGAUGUCCGUGGGACAUCGAGAUCGAACACAGACAUCGGGAUUGGAGUGUGUCAAAAACUAGUGCACAUAUAAAGCUGAGAAAUUGCUUUCAAACUUGCCUAUGAUUUAAAGUCAACCAUCCAUAUAUUCCAAUUUUUUUACAUCAAUCUGGAAUAAAGAUAAUUCUUUACGUGUAUCAAUUGGCUUGAUAAAGGCUCA
This is a long non-coding RNA of Pyrus x bretschneideri (Chinese white pear), 829 nucleotides long. RefSeq lists it as uncharacterized. The record is from RefSeq and is a predicted model, not a curated record. The transcript is spliced from 3 exons. Lineage: Eukaryota; Viridiplantae; Streptophyta; Magnoliopsida; Rosales; Rosaceae.